UACGGAAGGGGCAAGCGUUGUUCGGAAUCAUUGGGCGUAAAGGGCGCGUAGGUGGUUCUGUAUGUCUACCGUGAAAGCCUACAGCUCAACUGUAUUUUGUCGGUAGAAACUGCAGGACUUGAGGCUGGGAGGGGCUGGUGGAAUUCCCUGUGUAGCGGUGAAAUGCGUAGAGAUGGGGGAGAACACUCGUGGCGAAGGCGGCCAGCUAGACCAGUUCUGACACUGAGGCGCGACAGCGUGGGGAGCAAACAGG
RNAcentral lists this ribosomal RNA (253 nucleotides) under uncultured bacterium. RNAcentral's name for it is "partial 16S ribosomal RNA". It matches the Rfam family "Bacterial small subunit ribosomal RNA", at positions 524 to 776 of the family's 1533-position model. The record is from RNAcentral.